Molecule: long non-coding RNA, 231 nt
Filed under: Ricinus communis (castor bean)
Lineage: Eukaryota; Viridiplantae; Streptophyta; Magnoliopsida; Malpighiales; Euphorbiaceae
Description: long non-coding RNA (RCOM_LNC002567)
Source: RNAcentral
CUCAAUCCACUGAUAAUAUAAACCAAUCACCAAGUGAACUCAUCAAGUAUUUCCAUUUUCCUUCUCUUUGCAAACCCUAAUUCUAUAUACCAGAUGCCUGAACAGAAAAAUUUGAUAUCAGAUUACAAACCUAAAUAUUUACUUGAUGCUUAGGAUAUUAGAAUAACCUCCUCUUCGGAUUUAAGUCAGUCUAAGACACCUACUAUUGGAACUUUCUGAGGAAUUGGACAA